Molecule: ribosomal RNA, 482 nt
Filed under: uncultured bacterium
Lineage: Bacteria
Description: partial 16S ribosomal RNA
Rfam family: Bacterial small subunit ribosomal RNA
Source: RNAcentral
AUUGAACGCUGGCGGCAUGCUUUACACAUGCAAGUCGAACGGUAACAGGCCGCAAGGUGCUGACGAGUGGCGAACGGGUGAGUAAUGCAUCGGAACGUGCCCAGUCGUGGGGGAUAACUACUCGAAAGAGUAGCUAAUACCGCAUACGAUCUAUGGAUGAAAGCGGGGGACCGUAAGGCCUCGCGCGAUUGGAGCGGCCGAUGUCAGAUUAGGUAGUUGGUGGGGUAAAGGCUCACCAAGCCAACGAUCUGUAGCUGGUCUGAGAGGACGACCAGCCACACUGGGACUGAGACACGGCCCAGACUCCUACGGGAGGCAGCAGUGGGGAAUUUUGGACAAUGGACGCAAGCCUGAUCCAGCAAUGCCGCGUGCAGGAAGAAGGCCUUCGGGUUGUAAACUGCUUUUGUACGGAACGAAACGGCUCUGGUUAAUACCCGGGGCUAAUGACGGUACCGUAAGAAUAAGCACCGGCUAACUACGUG